Long non-coding RNA from Amphiprion ocellaris (clown anemonefish), 1752 nucleotides. The record is from Ensembl. NCBI's taxonomy places the organism in Eukaryota, Metazoa, Chordata, Actinopteri, Pomacentridae.
CAAAUAAUAAUGAUCUGGAAGAGAAAUACUUACAUUUGAAAAUUUUGCAGACAAAAGAGGAAACAGAUUGGCAUCUACUAAAUGCCCUCAGCAGAUUUCCCCCUACUAACCUUGUUUCUUUGAUGAAUGUUUCCACUACCCCCCAACAUGAACUUCCAACCACAUGUGCCCUACUUCUGAAAAUGAACUUCAGAGAUCCUCCAAAUGAUAGCUGUGAGAUAAAAGGUGGAAGUGGACUAUGACAGAGAAGAGAAGGAAGAGUAUGAAAGCGACAGAGAAGACUCAGCCACACCAAGCGAGGACAUGACGUCGUCACCCUGCGCUCAGCACAACGGCAGCUACAAGACUCACCAUGAGCAGGAUGUCUCUAUGGAGUCACACAGCACCAAGUGACUGUUAGAGCACCGUGGACACUACUCCUGCUCCAGCAAAGUAUCCUAACGCCCAUUAUGUGCGUAUACAUGCAUAAACACUGAAUAACCACUUAACAGUUACACACAUCUCUCAUCAUCAUCUCCUGAUUUCCUCCUUUUGAUACAUUCUUGGCGACACAGAUCCUGUAGUUAACUCAAAUUCCACCUAAAGGGUAAGUGAGCGCUCGGCACACAAAAAUCUACAAGCUCAGAAACUACUCUAUAGUCGAUGCAACACAUCAAGAAAAACAGCAGUGUUUGUUUAAAGGCAGUGAAAUUUGAUCACGUAAUGUUCCACAGAUCCUGCAAUGUCCUUGUUGCUUGAAGACCUGAAUUCCUUUCUCUGUAGGUAUAAAGCUAGAUAGUGACCAGAGGAGAUUGAAAACAUAUACAGGCCUGAGCCAGCUUCAGAGGCUCCUCCUAGUUUGUCACAAGAGAGUCACUUUUCAGGCAGAGAUCUCACAAAAAAACAGAACACACAGUCAUUUCUCAAUCACAUUGAAGCUGGAUUUCAACUGUGGUUUUGUCUCUGAUUUGCAUGGAUCUUGACUAUGAGCUUGAGUAGUUCAAAAAGCCUUUUAUUUCUCCAAGAUCAGCAUUUUGUAGUCAGUCUUUAUUACAUAUACCAUUUUUUUUUAAAGUUUUUGUCUUCAUAUUGAAACAGUCUGCUUUAAUAGUAAUAAGAUUAAUUUAUUUGUGGAAUCAGCGUUUUGCCUUCAUUACUAUGAUACAGUUCAUGUCUGUAGUGCAUGAGAAGCGGUUUAAGUUCCCAAAUACUUAAGAGGAAGGAGACUAGAAGCCAUUUGUGGUCCUAAGGAGAGAAAUAUUGAUUUAAUAAGUAGCUUUUUAUACUAAGUGUUAAAAAUGGCAACACAAUUAAAAACUACGGUAAAGGUGUAUUACCCUUGAAGUGAUUUUCUAAAGACAAUCUGCAACUGGUUCUGUCUGUAUCUAUUAACUGAGGCUACGUCUACACUAAUACAUGUCAUCUUUAAAAAGCAGAACUUGUGCUCCAUUCACACCAAUCAAACACACUACUGCAACAUUUUAGGACCCCUAAAGUUGAGACUUUUGCAAAAACACAGACUUUUGGAAACUGAAGCAGAUCUCUAUAGGGUUUUACUGUCACAAUGUCCCUUACUCAUCACAUUUCUAUCACAUGAGCGUUUCUGGUUCCCAGCCUUGACUGUCAGUGGUUAAUUGAACAAAGAUAACUAACUAGGCUAUAGGUGUUGCUGACCUUGUUGUCCACUAGCAGAUGUUGCGCUGUGAAACAACUCUCAGCUUUUUUUUUUGUUCUUCCUCUGUAGCAUUUUCUACAACUAAGCAAACAACGUUU